AUUGAACGCUGGCGGCAGGCCUAACACAUGCCAGUCGAACGAGAGGCGGAAGGGUGAGUAAUGUAUGGGAAACUGCCUGAUGGAGGGGGAUAAAUACUGGAAACGGUAGCUAAUACCGCCUACAUUCCGAUGUGCCCAGAUGGGAUUAGCUUGGUGGUGGGGUAACGGCUCACAAAGGCGACGAUCCCUAGCUGGUCUGAGAGGAUGAACAGCAAGACUGGAACUGAGACACGGUCCAGACUGCUACGGGAGGCAGCAGUGGGGAAUAUUGGACAAUGGGCGCAAGCCUGAUGCAGCCAUGCCGCGUGUAUGAAGAAGGCCGUAGGGUUGUAAAGUACUUUCAGCGGGGAGGCGUUACCCACAGAAUAAGCACCGGCUAACUCCGUGCCAGCCGCCGCGGUAAUAC
This 406-nucleotide ribosomal RNA is filed under the name uncultured bacterium. RNAcentral's name for it is "partial 16S ribosomal RNA". It matches the Rfam family "Bacterial small subunit ribosomal RNA", at positions 30 to 526 of the family's 1533-position model. The record is from RNAcentral.